This is a long non-coding RNA of Lethenteron reissneri (Far Eastern brook lamprey), 794 nucleotides long. RefSeq lists it as uncharacterized. Lineage: Eukaryota; Metazoa; Chordata; Hyperoartia; Petromyzontiformes; Petromyzontidae. The record is from RefSeq and is a predicted model, not a curated record.
ACUACGAACCUAGCGACCCGGGUUCGAUUCCCAAACACCGGUGACGAUUAUCUGAACCGGUCCUGGGCCUCCCCUAGGUCGACUCAGCCUCAAAUGAGUACUUGGUGCGAUGUGUAAACAUCUCUGCUAGGGAGACAAAGGCAGCCGGGUUUGGUGUUGGCCACCCACCCCCUCGUGUGCCACAGUGCUGGCCUUCAUAGGUGCUCGCUAACAGCACUUGCCCCUACAGUCUGUCAAGGCUAUAUGGGGAUCUUUGUCUUUGUAGUGGUUAGUACACUGCGCUACGAACCCGGCGGCCUGAGUUCGAUUCCCGCUCACGGCCAACGCCAGUGGCGAUUUUCUGAACCGGUCCUGGGCCUCCUCUAGGUCGACUCAGCCUCAAAUGAGUACUUGGUGUGGUGUGUAAACAUCUCCGCUCGGGAGACAAAGGCGGCCGGGCGUGGUGCUGGCUACCCACUCCCUCGUGUGCCACCGUACCGGCCUUCACAGACGCUCGCUAACAGCACUUGCCCCAGCAGUCUGUCACAGGCUACACGGGGGACCUUUGUCUGUGUGCGUGCAGGCGUUUUCGGUGUCCAAGGAGCUGGUUCCCCGCGUGGUGUCCCGCCUGGUGGAGGCGGUGGCCGAGGAGAUGGCGCGCCUGCUGCAGUGCGUCGCCUGCUUCAGCACACACGGAGCCCUGCAGGCUCGGCUGGAGGUGAGUGCCCUGAGAGACGCCGUCGACUCCUUCCAGACCCCGAGCUCCAGGCAGAGCUUCUCGCAGGCCUUGGCUCAACUCCACCACGUGCCCAGCG